This 30-nucleotide non-coding RNA is filed under the name Mus musculus (house mouse). Lineage: Eukaryota; Metazoa; Chordata; Mammalia; Rodentia; Muridae. The record is from RNAcentral.
UCCCUGCCUGGUUUAUGAAGUCACUGGAGU